GAUGAACGCUGGCGGCGCGCCUAACACAUGCAAGUCGAACGGCACCCCUCCUCGGAGGGAAGCGAGUGGCGAACGGCUGAGUAACACGUGGAGAACCUGCCCCCUCCCCCGGGAUAGCCGCCCGAAAGGACGGGUAAUACCGGAUACCCCGGGGUGCCGCAUGGCACCCCGGCUAAAGCCCCGACGGGAGGGGAUGGCUCCGCGGCCCAUCAGGUAGACGGCGGGGUGACGGCCCACCGUGCCGACAACGGGUAGCCGGGUUGAGAGACCGACCGGCCAGAUUGGGACUGAGGCACGGCCCAGACUCCUACGGGAGGCAGCAGUGGGGAAUCUUGCGCAAUGGGGGGAACCCUGACGCAGCGACGCCGCGUGCGGGACGGAGGCCUUCGGGUCGUAAACCGCUUUCAGCAGGGAAGAGUCAAGACUGUACCUGCAGAAGAAGCCCCGGCUAACUACGUG
RNAcentral lists this ribosomal RNA (459 nucleotides) under uncultured bacterium. RNAcentral's name for it is "partial 16S ribosomal RNA". It matches the Rfam family "Bacterial small subunit ribosomal RNA", at positions 28 to 507 of the family's 1533-position model. The record is from RNAcentral.